Molecule: long non-coding RNA, 122 nt
Organism: Neltuma alba
Lineage: Eukaryota; Viridiplantae; Streptophyta; Magnoliopsida; Fabales; Fabaceae
Exons: 3
Source: RefSeq, a predicted model, not a curated record
CCAAUUUGAAAGAUCAUUUAAUGUAGUUGAAAUAACUGAAUUUUGGGUUGUUCGAUCAAGUAAGGGAAAGUCAAUGGAAUUCAGAACUGUCUCAAUGUUUUUUUUAUUGAAUAUUUCGACAA